This 272-nucleotide ribosomal RNA is filed under the name uncultured prokaryote. RNAcentral's name for it is "partial 16S ribosomal RNA". It matches the Rfam family "Bacterial small subunit ribosomal RNA", at positions 524 to 794 of the family's 1533-position model. The record is from RNAcentral.
UACGUAGGUGGCAAGCGUUGUCCGGAUUUACUGGGCGUAAAGGGAGCGUAGGUGGAUAUUUAAGUGGGAUGUGAAAUACCCGGGCUUAACCUGGGUGCUGCAUUCCAAACUGGAUAUCUAGAGUGCAGGAGAGGAAAGGAGAAUUCCUAGUGUAGCGGUGAAAUGCGUAGAGAUUAGGAAGAACACCAGUGGCGAAGGCGACUUUCUGGACUGUAACUGACGCUGAGGCUCGAAAGCGUGGGGAGGCAAACAGGAUUAGAUACCCUGGUAGU